CUCGUAGGCGGCUUGUCGCGUCUGCUGUGAAAACUGGAGGCUCAACCUCCAGCCUGCAGUGGGUACGGGCAAGCUAGAGUGCGGUAGGGGAGAUUGGAAUUCCUGGUGUAGCGGUGGAAUGCGCAGAUAUCAGGAGGAACACCGAUGGCGAAGGCAGAUCUCUGGGCCGUUACUGACGCUGAGGAGCGAAAGCAGUGGGGAGCGAACA
Molecule: ribosomal RNA, 208 nt
Filed under: uncultured bacterium
Lineage: Bacteria
Description: partial 16S ribosomal RNA
Rfam family: Bacterial small subunit ribosomal RNA
Source: RNAcentral